AGUCUUAUAUUCAUUAAGUGAUAUAAAAUUGCAAAUUUUAAGGGGUAAAUUAAAAUACUAAGGCUU
Molecule: transfer RNA, 66 nt
Filed under: Bhutanitis thaidina
Lineage: Eukaryota; Metazoa; Arthropoda; Insecta; Lepidoptera; Papilionidae
Description: tRNA-Cys
Source: RNAcentral